This 253-nucleotide ribosomal RNA is filed under the name uncultured bacterium. Its description in RNAcentral is "partial 16S ribosomal RNA". It matches the Rfam family "Bacterial small subunit ribosomal RNA", at positions 524 to 776 of the family's 1533-position model. The record is from RNAcentral.
UACGGGGGGAGCAAGCGUUGUUCGGAUUUACUGGGCGUAAAGGGUGCGUAGGUGGCGCCGUAAGUCAGGUGUGAAAUCUCGGGGCUUAACUCCGAAACUGCAUUUGAUACUGCGGUGCUUGAGGACUGGAGAGGAGACUGGAAUUUACGGUGUAGCAGUGAAAUGCGUAGAGAUCGUAAGGAAGACCAGUGGCGAAGGCGGGUCUCUGGACAGUUCCUGACACUGAGGCACGAAGGCCAGGGGAGCAAACGGG